Polistes canadensis is the source of this 367-nucleotide long non-coding RNA. RefSeq lists it as uncharacterized. The record is from RefSeq and is a predicted model, not a curated record. Lineage: Eukaryota; Metazoa; Arthropoda; Insecta; Hymenoptera; Vespidae. The transcript has 3 exons.
AUGAGAUUGCAGUUAAAGGAUUAUAUAUCGACUAAUAAAUUUUCAAUCAAAUCGUAUGACCAUGAUUGGCUAGGAUCGUAUGGCUUUAUUGAACGUCAGCCGCCACGAAGAUAUUUCGACUAUUAUCCAAACGUGGAUGCACAUUUUCUGCAUGAACGGUUUACAAAUUUGUUCGAUGAUAACGAUUGGUUACCGUGCUUCCGUCCUUGACAUUAUUUCAAUUCGAUGACGUUCGCGAGAACAAACUCCUGUUUACAGGGGAGAACAUCGACGAUGCACGAUGCAACUGCAUUCGUCCUCGUCCAUUUAUGCAUAGAUUGUACGUACUUCGUAAUAAACAUUGCACUGACAUUUACGCAUCAAUAAA